This 253-nucleotide ribosomal RNA is filed under the name uncultured bacterium. RNAcentral's name for it is "partial 16S ribosomal RNA". It matches the Rfam family "Bacterial small subunit ribosomal RNA", at positions 83 to 334 of the family's 1533-position model. The record is from RNAcentral.
CUGGGUGGAUGAGUGGCGAACGGGUGGGUAACACGUGAGUAACCUGCCCCUUCUUUGGGAUAACGCCCGGAAACGGGUGCUAAUACUGGAUAUUCACUUGCCUCCGCAUGGGGGUUGGUGGAAAGGGUUUUUUCUGGUGGGGGAUGGGCUCGCGGCCUAUCAGCUUGUUGGUGGGGUGAUGGCCUACCAAGGCUUUGACGGGUAGCCGGCCUGAGAGGGUGACCGGUCACAUUGGGACUGAGAUACGGCCCAG